UACGGGGGGGGCAAGCGUUGUUCGGAAUUACUGGGCGUAAAGGGCUCGUAGGUGGCCAACUAAGUCAGACGUGAAAUCCCUCGGCUUAACCGGGGAACUGCGUCUGAUACUGGAUGGCUUGAGUUUGGGAGAGGGACGCGGAAUUCCAGGUGUAGCGGUGAAAUGCGUAGAUAUUGGGAAGAACACCGGUGGCGAAGGCGGCGCUCUGGACCGAGACUGACGCUGAGGCGCGAAAGCGUGGGGAGCAAACAGG
Molecule: ribosomal RNA, 253 nt
Filed under: uncultured bacterium
Lineage: Bacteria
Description: partial 16S ribosomal RNA
Rfam family: Bacterial small subunit ribosomal RNA
Source: RNAcentral